AAAGAGCAGAGGAAUUGAAAGUGUGAAAUAUUAAAGUUGUGUAAGGAGUAGUUCAGUCAGUUUCUGUCUGCACAGCCAUCAUGAGGUCGCUCGUCUGUCUUCCUUUCUGCCUGGUGAUGUUUCUGUUCUGUCUCAUUGCAGAAACAAGUCAACGUCCUUCAACCUGCUGUUUGCAGACGAGCAAAAAAAGAAUACCCAUAAACAGAGUGUUGAGUUAUACAGUGCAGGAAGCAGGAGUUUGCCAUAUCAGCGCAAUUGUCUUGUGCACUUUAAGACAGACAAUUAGGUGUAUUGAUCCAGACUCGGAGUGGAUCACAGAUCUUAUGAGAACAGUGGACCAGAAAAACGGACAAAACAAAAAUCCUAUUUGCCGAGCCAAAUUGCCAAAAGACAGAAGAAAAAAUAACAGAGGAAAGAUACGCAGACAGAAGAAUCAAAAGAAAAUAUAAUACAAUUUUUGUCAACGUUUAUAAUACAUUGUUUGACAUGUCCCAACUGACAUAAACCUGAAUUGAUGUCAAAAUAAGUAUUACUUUUUUUUUUAUGCUGACAUCUCUUUUGUAAUAAAUUUAUUUUGCUUUGCAAAUUUUAUAAUCUCUUAUCAAGAAUGUGUUUUUGUAUUUUAUGAUAAAAAAAAUGUCAUGUUGCAAAAUAAACAAGAUUUUUUAAAUAAAGAAA
Molecule: long non-coding RNA, 678 nt
Organism: Carassius carassius (crucian carp)
Lineage: Eukaryota; Metazoa; Chordata; Actinopteri; Cypriniformes; Cyprinidae
Exons: 3
Source: RefSeq, a predicted model, not a curated record